This 468-nucleotide ribosomal RNA is filed under the name uncultured bacterium. RNAcentral's name for it is "partial 16S ribosomal RNA". It matches the Rfam family "Bacterial small subunit ribosomal RNA", at positions 28 to 507 of the family's 1533-position model. The record is from RNAcentral.
GACGAACGCUGGCGGCGUGCUUAACACAUGCAAGUCGAACGGAAAGGCCCUGCUUUUGUGGGGUGCUCGAGUGGCGAACGGGUGAGUAACACGUGAGUAACCUGCCCUUGACUUUGGGAUAACUUCAGGAAACUGGGGCUAAUACCGGAUAGGAGCUCCUGCUGCAUGGUGGGGGUUGGAAAGUUUCGGCGGUUGGGGAUGGACUCGCGGCUUAUCAGCUUGUUGGUGGGGUAGUGGCUUACCAAGGCUUUGACGGGUAGCCGGCCUGAGAGGGUGACCGGCCACAUUGGGACUAGGAUACGGCCCAGACUCCUACGGGAGGCAGCAGUGGGGAAUAUUGCACAAUGGGCGGAAGCCUGAUGCAGCAACGCCGCGUGCGGGAUGACGGCCUUCGGGUUGUAAACCGCUUUCGCCUGUGACGAAGCGUGAGUGACGGUAAUGGGUAAAGAAGCACCGGCUAACUACGUG